GGGAAGUAGCUUGCUACUUUGCCGGCGAGCGGCGGACGGGUGAGUAAUGUCUGGGAAACUGCCUGAUGGAGGGGGAUAACUACUGGAAACGGUAGCUAAUACCGCAUGACCUCGNAAGAGCAAAGUGGGGGACCUUCGGGCCUCACGCCAUCGGAUGUGCCCAGAUGGGAUUAGCUAGUAGGUGAGGUAAUGGCUCACCUAGGCGACGAUCCCUAGCUGGUCUGAGAGGAUGACCAGCCACACUGGAACUGAGACACGGUCCAGACUCCUACGGGAGGCAGCAGUGGGGAAUAUUGCACAAUGGGCGCAAGCCUGAUGCAGCCAUGCCGCGUGUGUGAAGAAGGCCUUAGGGUUGUAAAGCACUUUCAGCGAGGAGGAAGGGUUCAGUGUUAAUAGCACUGAGCAUUGACGUUACUCGCAGAAGAAGCACCGGCUAACUCCGUGCCAGCAGCCGCGGUAAUACGGAGGGUGCAAGCGUUAAUCGGAAUUACUGGGCGUAAAGCGCACGCAGGCGGUUUGUUAAGUCA
This 527-nucleotide ribosomal RNA is filed under the name Rahnella sp. Z3NS-107. RNAcentral describes it as "bacterial SSU rRNA". It matches the Rfam family "Bacterial small subunit ribosomal RNA", at positions 70 to 590 of the family's 1533-position model. The record is from RNAcentral. Lineage: Bacteria; Pseudomonadati; Pseudomonadota; Gammaproteobacteria; Enterobacterales; Yersiniaceae.